AGCUCCAGACCCCUGAACCUCCUCCUGGUGCUCCUCCUCCUCCUGCUCCUCUGCUGCAGCUGAUGUUCCUCUCUGUGUCUGUUCUCCAUCUUCUCCUCCACGACCUUCACUUUGAGCUCUCUCUGCAGUGUUUUUCCCGUUUCCCUGCCUCCUCACCGUCCUCUGAUCCUCCUGUUUGAUUGUUUAAUUGGACUGAAAAGGUGAGGAGUGAAUCUGUGGGGAUGAAGUAAAGCUGGUUCAUGUAAAGAAGACGCUCCUUCAGAGCUCCUCAUCAGAUCUGCUGCCUGUUCUUUGUGUCAGAGCAGAUUUCAUAUCUGAUUGUCUUCUUGUGAAUCAUGAAGCAGCUCUGAUCAUCCCUGACGUUAAAGAGUUAAAACUUUAAUUACACCCCACAUUAGUAGAGAUGUCUGCUGUCUGACUAUAAUGAAUUAGACCCGCUCCGAUCCGCCUGUCGAUCUCCAGCUCCAUCCUACCCUCACACAUGAACAAAAUCCUGAGAUACUUGAACUACAAAAUCAUCUUAAUAAGACGAAAGUUUCAGACAAUCCCAAAAUAAAUGACAAUGGGUAACUGAAUCUGAACAUCCUCCAACAUCUUGAUGUUUCCUCUGAGUCGUGUUAUAAAAAAAUCUCCUGAUGUUUUUCAUCCAGAUUCCCUCCAGCUCUUUGUGUUUUCCUCUGUAAUUAUAAAGACAUCUUCCCAUUCUCCCUCAGAUAUGACCAAACCUCCCUCUCUGUACCAUCGACAUUUAGUCUUGAAAACUUUGAUAUAAUCUAGAUCAGGGGUCGGCAACCUUAAACACUCAAAGAGCCACUUGGACCAGUUUCCCACAGAAAAGAAAACACAGGGAGCCACAAAACCUCUUUGACAUCUAAAAUGAAGAUAACAUUGCAUAUAUAUAUUUUUUUUCCUUUAUACAAAGUCUAUAAAAAACUGUAGCGAGUUGCAUUUAUGAAAAAAAUGAACUAUUUCGGCGAGUGUCUGUCUUCUUCUGUAGUUAAACCGCAAGAUAUCAAAAUCUACCCGGAUACAGCAAUGCUGCUUUUUGAUUGGCUGUUCAGUAGAUAUACUUUAUUUGAUUGGCUUGUGCGUGGCACGCAGCUUCUGAACUCUCGGAGGAACUCAGUUGAUUUCCCCCAGUCCCAUAGUUGAAGAAGUGCAACUUGGUGGACAUCACCGUGUUCAUUUAAAUGCGUGAGAAAUACAAUGUGUGGUGUGUGAGCGUGUGAACGAGUGGGAAUGCGUGUGUCAUACGCUGAAUGCGUGAGACUUGAGAGCCCUGUGCUCACGCAUCAUCGAUGUACCCCCGAGCCAUGCAAAACGGUCUUUGCAAAUGUUGCACUGAACGCCUUCCUUUUCAGUCUUGGUGAAGUUUUCCCACACCACUGAUGUUUUAGGUCGGGAUUUGGGUUGGGUUGUGUCCAUGUUUUUCUCAGCCGCUGCCUCGGCCAUGGCUGUUUCUUUUCUGUGCGUCCUGCUGAUGUUUACACGCCGGUGUCCAUGGACAUAUAUAAAGACCCGACGAAUCGAUUACAGAAUUUGUUGGCAACGGAUUUUUUCGUCACGACGAAUCGACUUAAUCGAUUCGUUGUUGCAGCCUUCAUAGUAACAAGAGCAUUAUAAUCUUUGAAUUUAGAAUAACAAAAAAUAAUAAUAAUAAAAUAAAAUGUAAUUAAGUAUUUCUUAAUUAUUUUACAAAUCCAUUGGGAGCCGCAGCUUAGGGAAGAAAGAGCUGCAUGCGGCUCCAGAGCCGCGGGUUGCCGACCCCUGAUCUAGAUUUUAAUUUCUGUCCACUCUCAGAUUCGUUAAUUGAGACAAAGAUCUUUAGAAUAAACUCGUCGAGUCCUGAAGACUGUAUUUGAUCGAUGCCUCACUGAGGUUUCUCUGUUUCACCAACAACAUGCAGUUAAACUCUCUCUCUGGUUUCAUCCUGCAGACCUAAUUUCCCUUCUUCGCUCGUUCUGCGGCGUCGACCUCAAAGACACUCUCUCUCUCUCUCUCUCUCUCUCUCUCUCUCUCCUCUGCGGUCCAAAUUGAUUUCCAGGAGUGAGUGUUUCAGCGCAUCAGCUCUGAUGGAUUAGCCCUUCAAAUGUGUUUUUGUCAGAGAGCAACUGAAGCCGGCUGCAUUUUGAGAAGACGCCGAGGUUACCUGAGUUCAAACCGGAGAUCAGACCUUUGACCUUUGCUCUGGGGUCAGAGAUGGAGAUGGUGAGAUUAAAAAUGUAAAAUGUAAUUAAAUUCAUAGAAUAAAGACACCAGGACGUGUUCAUCCUCGGUGGUAUAAAGAUGAUUCAGGUCUCAGUAAUAAUUCAGAUCCGUGUCUCAGCAGAUAAAAACCCGCCCCUGGUCUCCAGGACUCUGAUGAAGUCUGGUGAGUCACAUCUAAUUUUACGUCAUUAUUUUGUUGUUUCUCUUUUUUUUUUUUCUCUUGACCCUGUUGUCAUCAUGUUACUCUGCACUUUGAACACAUCGGUUUGUUUCCAGGGCAACGGGAACUCAAAUUAAAGGGAGAUCUGGUUCAAUCUGACCUUCUCCGAAUGAACCCGGAGCUCAAAGAAACACAUUUAGAGGAUCCAGGUUAGACUCUGUGACGCUCAGAAUGACAUCCGACAGAACCAGACCCGGUCCGACAUGUCAAAUCAAGAGUUUAUGAUGAGGCAGAAACAGAAAAACAGACGUGUGUCCUCGUCUUCAUGUUUGUUCAUCAGGUAAAAAUAGAGAUUUAAAAAUGUCUAACAUCAGAUCAGUGAACGGAGGUCUGCGUCAGACUCUCAUGUAAAUGAAAAUUCAUCAUUACGAACUCACAGUCCGACUCCUCCUGUGGCCUUUUUACUCGGAGCCCAGGGGAAGGUAGGGGAAGGUCCCGCCUCCUUCGCCUCUGAUUGGCUAGGAGUGCUGGGCUCUGAUUGGUUAUUCCUUAUGACUGUGAAAUGUCAUCAUCUGUUGGGUUAGGGUCAUUCUGUUUCAGUUUCCUCAGAAGUCAGAAGUCGGAGCUGAAAAUGACGUCACACCCGAGUUCUCAGCGUUUCAGUUACCAAGUCUGUAAAAAGCAAAAUCAGAGGCGGAAAGUUAGGAAAGUUAUUUUAGCGCUGUCCUUGUCCGACCAGGCAAGCGCUAAAAUAACUUUCAUAGAUGUAGCCAUCUUGUUUCAGGCCUCUGAUUUUGCUUUUUACCGUCUUGGUGACUGAAACGCUGUGAACUCGGGUGUGACGUCAUUUUCAGCUCCGACUUCUGACUUCCGAGGUAACUUGAACGCAGCAUCAGAAUUGCGAUAAUGUUCCGUAAUGUUCUGUUCGAUGUACAGAGCCGACAGCUCGCACUUGGCUUGAGUGUGUGAUGACGUUUCACAACAAUGAUGACUAACCAAUCGGAGCCCAGCUUUUCUAACCAAUCAGAAGAAGGAGGCGGGACCUUUCCCUACCAUCCUACGAAGAAAAAUGUCGCCACCUGGAUUAUGGUGUCAAACUAUAAUAUAGAGAAAAAUCAGAAUCUAGAAGGGGGCGGGGCUAUGAUGUCAGCUAUGAUGUCAUCUUUGUUGGCAACAGUGGAGGAGGUCUCUAGAGAGGAGGAGUUAGACAUACUUAUUCUUCAAGGUCGGGUUUUCAUAUCUGGAGCUGAAACUAAAACAUUUUUAAAUCAAUUCACAUUUUAAUAUACCAGUUAAUAAAAACAAAUUUAAACAGUCACUUCCACUCAUGAUUACAGACUGUAGGAGAUGGUGAACCGUCCAGUCUGAGUCUGUGGUGGUGGAGCUGAAAGUCUGAGUUCAGAGCAGAAGGAGAAAACAGAAAUCAUCGACAGGAACCUAAACGGUGACAAAGCGAAGUGUAAGGAGUUUAAAAUCAGAGGAACACCGAGAUCACGCUGUUCUUUAAAAACUCCGGUCUGACGGAGACGUCUUCUCAUUUCCAGGAAAACAACAGGUCUCUCAUGAGGAACACGGCGUAUUUUUAUCAGAUCAACAACCUAUCUGCUGAAAAACAAGAUUAGAAGUUCAGUGAACCGGUACAUGAGGUCCGAGCCUGUUUUUCCUCUCUGUGGUGGUUUUUUACAGGAGAACUGCACAAACAGAAACACGUGAAUAUUUCCAAUCAAGACUCUGAUCUGUGUCUGUAUAACACUCUCCACUUUGGACGGGGUUAGUGAUGAAUUAGAGAAAGGCUCCAGUUUCAAAGUGAUUCAUCCUUCACAAACAAACGUCCCGAAAAGACGAGCGCAGACUCAGAACUACAGCCCAGAGAAAACCAGAAAAAUAAGCCAUCAGUAUGAACAAGGUCAGAAAAAUAGAAGAUAGAUUUCAAAAUAUAAACUCUCAGUAAAAAUGUGAAAUCUGUGGUUUUCAGAGAGAGAGGGGGAAAAAAGACAGAGAGGUUUUUGUUCUGUUUCCAUGGAGUCAGCACCGAGGGUCUUUGUAAGGGAGAGGUACAAAUGACUUUGGCAGAAAAGGAGGAGAAUAUUUCUGAUGAUUAACAAGAAAAGAAAGAAAGGAUUGAGGUGAUGAGCGGUUAAUGAGGAGACUCAAAUUAAAAAGGGACGUCUGAAUAAAAGAGAGGCUCUGUUUCUCUGACACCAGCGUCUCUCUUCUGUCCUUUUUAUUCUACAGAAGAAAUCCUAGAAGAAGGUUUGGUGUUUUAUUUUUGUAAGUUUCUUUUAAACUCCUGUUUUAAACUUUAUUUUUUUAACUUUUCUCUGUGGCUUAGCAGAUAAAAAUAUCCUGUUUGGAGUGGAAUCGAGUGUCAGCCGUCUGAGGUCUUUCCUGUAGUGCUUGAAAACACAUCCUUCUCUUAUGUGGGGUCCCCCAGGGGUCUAUCUUGGGUCCCCUUUUGUCCGUUGAAAACCAAACAGCGGUCAUCCUGUUCGGUCG
Molecule: long non-coding RNA, 4864 nt
Filed under: Xyrichtys novacula (pearly razorfish)
Lineage: Eukaryota; Metazoa; Chordata; Actinopteri; Labriformes; Labridae
Source: RNAcentral